This 253-nucleotide ribosomal RNA is filed under the name uncultured bacterium. RNAcentral's name for it is "partial 16S ribosomal RNA". It matches the Rfam family "Bacterial small subunit ribosomal RNA", at positions 524 to 776 of the family's 1533-position model. The record is from RNAcentral.
UACAGAGGUCUCAAGCGUUGUUCGGAUUCAUUGGGCGUAAGGGGUGCGUAGGCGGCGCGGUAAGUCGGGUGUGAAAUCUCGGGGCUUAACUCCGAAACUGCAUUCGAUACUGCCGUGCUUGAGGACUGGAGAGGAGACUGGAAUUUACGGUGUAGCGGUGAAAUGCGUAGAUAUCGUAAGGAAGACCAGUGGCGAAGGCGGGUCUCUGGACAGUUCCUGACGCUGAGGCACGAAGGUCAGGGGAGCAAACGGG